RNAcentral lists this ribosomal RNA (301 nucleotides) under uncultured bacterium. Its description in RNAcentral is "partial 16S ribosomal RNA". It matches the Rfam family "Bacterial small subunit ribosomal RNA", at positions 509 to 808 of the family's 1533-position model. The record is from RNAcentral.
CAGAGCCGCGGUAAUACGUAGGGUGUGAGCGUUAAUCGGAAUUACUGGGCGUAAAUCGUGCGCAGGCGGUUAUAUAAGACAGAUGUGAAAUCCCCGGGCUCAACCUGGGACCUGCAUUUGUGACUGUAUAGCUAGAGUACGGUAGAGGGGGAUGGAAUUCCGCGUGUAGCAGUGAAAUGCGUAGAUAUGCGGAGGAACACCGAUGGCGAAGGCAAUCCCCUGGACCUGUACUGACGCUCAUGCACGAAAGCGUGGGGAGCAAACAGGAUUAGAUACCCCCGUAGUCCCUGUCUCUUAUACC